Molecule: ribosomal RNA, 441 nt
Filed under: uncultured bacterium
Lineage: Bacteria
Description: partial 16S ribosomal RNA
Rfam family: Bacterial small subunit ribosomal RNA
Source: RNAcentral
CCUACGGGAGGCAGCAGUGGGGAAUAUUGCACAAUGGGGGAAACCCUGAUGCAGCAACGCCGCGUGAAGGAAGACGGUUUUCGGGUUUUAAACUUCUGUUCUUAGUGAAGAAUAAUGACGGUCGCUUAGGAUCAUGCCACGGCUAACUACGUGCCAGCAGCCGCGGUAAUACGGAGGUGGCAAGCGUUGUCCGGAAUUACUGGGUGUAAGGGGAGCGCAGGCGGGAAGCCAAGUCAGCUGUGAAAGCUACGGGCUUAACUUGUAGACUGCAGUUGAAACUGGUUUUCUUGAGUGAAGUAGAGGUAGGCGGAAUUCCGGGUGUAGCGGUGAAAUGCGUAGAUAUUAGGAGGAACACCGGUGGCGAAGGCGGCCAACUGGGCUGUAACUGACGCUGAGGCUCGAAAGUGUGGGGAGCAAACAGGAUUAGAUACCCGAGUAGUC